CUAUGUGUCACAUUUAUUAUGUUUUAGGCCGAUUGGUCCAAGAAGAAGCUUUGCUGCCAUCAUCUUACAAUGAUAGUGAUGUAUCUGAUAUUAAUGAAAGAAUAUCUCAUUUGCAAGAGGAUUUAUUGACUUGCACGUCAAAUAAGUCAUUUGUGAAAGUUAUGCUAGAAAGAUUGCUUGAAGGACAAGCUUUGAUCAAAUUAUUGUUUCCUCAUACCGUCACUGAGAUUCCAACCCAGGAGAAACUAUCAACAAUGAA
Exaiptasia diaphana is the source of this 259-nucleotide long non-coding RNA. RefSeq lists it as uncharacterized. Lineage: Eukaryota; Metazoa; Cnidaria; Anthozoa; Actiniaria; Aiptasiidae. The transcript is spliced from 3 exons. The record is from RefSeq and is a predicted model, not a curated record.